RNAcentral lists this long non-coding RNA (1056 nucleotides) under Apteryx owenii (little spotted kiwi). RNAcentral's name for it is "lncRNA (ENSAOWG00000016874.1)". Lineage: Eukaryota; Metazoa; Chordata; Aves; Apterygiformes; Apterygidae. The record is from RNAcentral.
CCCAACUCCAUACUUAAUUCCAUUUUUAUUGUUUGCUGAACGCCAUAGGGAUCACCUUUUCAUUGUUAUAAACCUUACUUUUCAAUAACACAGCUGUUUCAGUCAUGCCUUGGCAUGGCUCAAAAGUUUCUUAGCAUAGAUAUAAUUAACUUUUGAAAGUCUUGGGGGCUCUUUAACGAGGAGUUUUAAUGGCCUGUCACAUUUUACAUUGUUUGAUUUGCAUGUGAUCAUAAAUGCUAACAACCUGCAUCAGUGUUCAUUUGUGAAAACCCACCCAUCUGUAGCAAAACCCACAUAUGGAAAGUUAAAUUUCAUCACCACUCUGCUCUAAAACCAGGGUGAAGUUGGGAGUGAAAUCAGCUUUACCCAGCAUGUUGGGGGUUGACUAUUUGUAAUGCCAACUCCUAAAGCAGUUACCCACUACAUUAUUUUUAUUUCUAUUACUGUAUAACUUAAGUUUAGUAUUUAUAGCUCAGGACUCUGCUGCACUAUUGCCAUCUUGUUCUGAGAUUUUAUAGGCAAAGAAUUUAUAAUUGAUACAGAAGACAAUAGGCAAAUCUGAGGGAUAGCGGGAAUCUUAUUACCAUGAAUAGUCCUAAUGAAAAAGAAAUACUUCAUACUGAGGGAUUGCACAGCUGGGCUUUAAGUGCAAAGGUGUUGCCCAGAGGAAGUCUCUCAGAAAUAACACAGUGACAUUCCUCUGUCCCACAGAUGGAGAACAAUGUCCUUAAUUCUCCAUGGAAUAAGAUGCUCAACUACCUCAUGCCUCCUGGAUGAUAAGUGAUGCCAUUAGACACAGACUAAUGUCUAUUCAAGAAAAAUAGCUUUGUGAAGACCAGAAUAUAUUUAGACAAACUUCUAUCACUGUUUGAGGAAACAAAAGCACACCGAGAAAUAAAAGAUGGCCAGAAGACUAGAAGUAACACAGAAGUCGUGACUGUUUCAAUGAAACCAACCAACUUAGGAGAAUGUGUGAGAUAUCCAGAUGCAAGCGCUAGCCUUUUUUGGGCCGGGGAACACCAGAUCAGGCAGAAUGUAAUUGCAGUAAUGCAAUGA